This 477-nucleotide ribosomal RNA is filed under the name uncultured bacterium. Its description in RNAcentral is "bacterial LSU rRNA". It matches the Rfam family "Bacterial large subunit ribosomal RNA", at positions 699 to 1170 of the family's 2925-position model. The record is from RNAcentral.
GUCAGUGGAGGUAGACGCGAAACCUUGUGAUCUACCCUUGGGCAGGUUGAAAGGUGGGUAAUAUUGUUUGGAGGACCGAACCGGUAAACGUUGAAAAGUUUUCGGAUGACCUGAGGGUAGGGGUGAAAGGCUAAUCAAACUGGGAAAUAGCUCGUACUCCCCGAAAUGCCUUUAGGGGCAGCCUCGAGGUUGAGUAUCAUAGAGGUAGAGCUACCGAUUGGAUUAGGGGGUUUUAUUGUUUAUUAAAUCCUGACGAACUCCGAAUACUAUGAUAUAUACUCGGGAGUGAGGCUGUGGGUGCUAAGGUCCAUGGCCGAGAGGGAAAGAACCCAGACCAUCAGCUAAGGUCCCAAAAUGUAUGUUAAGUUGAUCUAACGUGGUCCGAUUGCAUUGACAGCUAGGAUGUUGGCUUGGAAGCAGCCAUUCAUUUAAAGAGUGCGUAACAGCUCACUAGUCGAGCGAGUCGGGCGUGGAUAA